UUGGAAUCUACAAGAAUGACAGAGACUGA
RNAcentral lists this non-coding RNA (29 nucleotides) under Rattus norvegicus (Norway rat). Lineage: Eukaryota; Metazoa; Chordata; Mammalia; Rodentia; Muridae. The record is from RNAcentral.